UUGGAGGGCAAGUCUGGUGCCAGCAGCCGCGGUAAUUCCAGCUCCAAUAGCGUAUAUUAAAGUUGUUGCAGUUAAAAAGCUCGUAGUUGAAUUUUGGAUUCUUCCAAUUGGUCCAUCUUUUAGAUGAGUACUGGUUGUGUGGGGUCUAUCCGCCUGGUGAUACGUAAUGUCCUUUAUUGGAUGUUGCGGGUAGUCAGGACCUUUACCUUGAAAAAAUUAGAGUGUUUAAAGCAGGCUUAUGCCGGAAUACAUUAGCAUGGAAUAAUAGAAUAGGACGAAGUUGUUUUAUUUUGUUGGUUUCUAGGACAACCGUAAUGAUUAAUAGGGAUAGUUGGGGGCAUUAGUAUUCAAUUGUCAGAGGUGAAAUUCUUGGAUUUAUUGAAGACUAACUACUGCGAAAGCAUUUGCCAAGGAUGUUUUCAUUAACCAAGAACGAAAGUUAGGGGAUCGAAGACGAUCAGAUACCGUCGUAGUCUUAACCAUAAACUAUGCCGACUAGGGAUCGGGCGAUGUUGUUUCCAUGACUCGCUCGGCACCUUAUGGGAAACCAAAGUGUUUGGGUUC
This 564-nucleotide ribosomal RNA is filed under the name uncultured Glomeromycotina. Its description in RNAcentral is "SSU rRNA". It matches the Rfam family "Eukaryotic small subunit ribosomal RNA", at positions 548 to 1114 of the family's 1831-position model. The record is from RNAcentral. Lineage: Eukaryota; Fungi; Glomeromycota.